GACGAACGCUGGCGGCGUGCUUAACACAUGCAAGUCGAACGGAAAGGCCCUGCUUUUGUGGGGUGCUCGAGUGGCGAACGGGUGAGUAACACGUGAGUAACCUGCCCUUGACUUUGGGAUAACUUCAGGAAACUGGGGCUAAUACCGGAUAGGAGCUCCUGCUGCAUGGUGGGGGUUGGCAAGGUUCGGCGGUUGGGGAUGGACUCGCGGCUUAUCAGCUCGUUGGUGGGGUAGUGGCUUACCAAGGCUUUGACGGGUAGCCGGCCUGAGAGGGUGACCGGCCACAUUGGGACUGGGAUACGGCCCAGACUCCUACGGGAGGCAGCAGUGGGGAAUAUUGCACAAUGGGCGGAAGCCUGAUGCAGCAACGCCGCGUGCGGGAUGACGGCCUUCGGGUUGUAAACCGCUUUCGCCUGUGACGAAGCGUGAGUGACGGUAAUGGGUAAAGAAGCACCGGCUAACUACGUG
RNAcentral lists this ribosomal RNA (468 nucleotides) under uncultured bacterium. Its description in RNAcentral is "partial 16S ribosomal RNA". It matches the Rfam family "Bacterial small subunit ribosomal RNA", at positions 28 to 507 of the family's 1533-position model. The record is from RNAcentral.